GUAAAGCUAAUUUCCUAAUCACGAAAAUCAAAUUGAGUGACUUUGGCAAAGAAAAUUGAAUGCAUCAUAUUGCCUCUAAAAUAUUAUUUUUUAUGGCAAUUCAUUAUUUCUAAGACGAAGAGAAUAAGAAAUAUUUAGUGAACAUGUAUGUUAGGCCGAUAAACCGCCCAUUAGCCGCCCUAUAAGAGCUAACCCGAUACCAAUCCGCCCG
This 211-nucleotide long non-coding RNA is filed under the name Nicotiana benthamiana. RNAcentral's name for it is "long non-coding RNA (NBEN_LNC041794)". Lineage: Eukaryota; Viridiplantae; Streptophyta; Magnoliopsida; Solanales; Solanaceae. The record is from RNAcentral.